UACAGAGGUCCCAAGCGUUGUUCGGAUUCAUUGGGCGUAAAGGGUGCGUAGGCGGCGCGGUAAGUCGGGUGUGAAAGUCCAGGGCUCAACCCUGGGAUGCCGGUGGAUACUGUCGGGCUCGAGUCCGGAAGAGGAGUGUGGAAUUCCUGGUGUAGCGGUGAAAUGCGCAGAUAUCAGGAGGAACACCGGUGGCGAAGGCGGAUCUCUGGGCCAUUACUGACGCUGAGGAGCGAAAGCGUGGGGAGCGAACAGG
This 253-nucleotide ribosomal RNA is filed under the name uncultured bacterium. RNAcentral describes it as "partial 16S ribosomal RNA". It matches the Rfam family "Bacterial small subunit ribosomal RNA", at positions 524 to 776 of the family's 1533-position model. The record is from RNAcentral.